Molecule: small nucleolar RNA, 127 nt
Filed under: Kryptolebias marmoratus (mangrove rivulus)
Lineage: Eukaryota; Metazoa; Chordata; Actinopteri; Cyprinodontiformes; Rivulidae
Description: Small nucleolar RNA SNORA71 (ENSKMAG00000017533.1)
Rfam family: Small nucleolar RNA SNORA71
About the family: The members of this family belong to the H/ACA class of snoRNAs which bind a number of proteins (including dyskerin, Gar1p and Nop10p) to form snoRNP complexes. This class of snoRNAs are thought to guide the sites of modification of uridines to pseudouridines by forming direct base pairing interactions with substrate RNAs. This family includes U71 (SNORA71), ACA39 (SNORA39) and ACA60 (SNORA60).
Source: Rfam by way of RNAcentral
CCCUGUAUCGAAAGGUGUCCCGGCGUCCUUGUCGCCGCGGUCAUUAUUAAUACAGGAAGAAGAACCUGAGAGCUUUCCCGUGUUUGGAGGACCGUCGGUUCCUCUCAGACCCUGACGCUCUCAGACA